UAUAUGAACCAAAGGGGUUGCAGCUCGUUAAAUGCGUUUGUUAUUCCCAGGUGGUGAGGGUUUAACUUUCAAAGUGUGCAAAAUGAACUAUCUAGGAGUAGCAUAGCUAUUCCUGAGUUGGAUGAGAACAAGUAUGUCAAUGAGACUAUUCGGGUGGAAUAUGAAUGGAAACCACCGAGAUGUGCCCACUGCUGUGUAUUUGGGCAUGAUUCUGAGGAGUGUCCAAAAUGCAUUCGAUUGACAGUGAAACCUCCUACAAACAGUCCGAAAGUAGAUGAGGAUGGUUAUACGUAAGUCAAGACAAAGAAGAAUGUUAAG
Molecule: long non-coding RNA, 318 nt
Filed under: Helianthus annuus (common sunflower)
Lineage: Eukaryota; Viridiplantae; Streptophyta; Magnoliopsida; Asterales; Asteraceae
Description: hypothetical non coding rna
Source: RNAcentral